RNAcentral lists this ribosomal RNA (279 nucleotides) under uncultured bacterium. RNAcentral describes it as "partial 16S ribosomal RNA". It matches the Rfam family "Bacterial small subunit ribosomal RNA", at positions 506 to 784 of the family's 1533-position model. The record is from RNAcentral.
UGCCAGCAGCCGCGGUAAUACGGGGGGUGCAAGCGUUAUUCGGAAUCAUUGGGCGUAAAGAGCACGUAGGCGGCUUGGUAAGUCAGAUGUGAAAGCCCGGGGCUUAACCCCGGAAGUGCAUUUGAUACUGUCAAGCUUGAGUAUGGGAGAGGGAAGUGGAAUUCCUGGUGUAGAGGUGAAAUUCGUAGAUAUCAGGAGGAACACCGGUGGCGAAGGCGGCUUUCUGGACCAAUACUGACGCUGAGAUGCGAAAGCGUGGGGAGCGAACAGGAUUAGAUA